UGGGCAACCUGCCCCUGACACUGGGAUAACCCCGGGAAACCGGAGCUAAUACCGGAUACUCUCGGCCGAUCACAUGGCUGGCCGAGGAAAGGUCCGCCGGUCAGGGAUGGGCCCGCGGCCUAUCAGCUUGUUGGCUAGGUAACGGCUCACCAAGGCGACGACGGGUAGCUGGUCUGAGAGGACGACCAGCCACACUGGAACUGAGAUACGGUCCAGACUCCUACGGGAGGCA
Molecule: ribosomal RNA, 232 nt
Filed under: uncultured bacterium
Lineage: Bacteria
Description: partial 16S ribosomal RNA
Rfam family: Bacterial small subunit ribosomal RNA
Source: RNAcentral